RNAcentral lists this unclassified non-coding RNA (611 nucleotides) under Hevea brasiliensis (rubber tree). The record is from RNAcentral. Lineage: Eukaryota; Viridiplantae; Streptophyta; Magnoliopsida; Malpighiales; Euphorbiaceae.
UCAUCUCCCUCAGUUUAACCCUCAAGCCAUUGGCGACUGAUAUCCUUCUCCUAUCAACAAGACUACCUUCUUUAUACAGUUCUGAUAUUCUGGGAUUGAUUUCGUUGGAUUGGUCAAGUGAUUCCAGCCUUGCUUUGAUAAUCUUCGCCUUUCUAAGAACUGCAACACUGUCUGUUUCCAUUCUGUCUCUCAGGCCACGGAGAACUUUGGCACUAGAUUGGACUUGGACUCUUGAUCAAGAGCACGAAGAUCAAACAAGAGAUUAUUUAUCUCUUCCAUUUCAUCCUUGAUUGCAGCAACGUCUUGGAAGAACUGAGAGAGGUUUGAUUCAUCUGCAGGGUUGAGACAUCCAGAUUCCAUGUCAACUUCGAGUUCAAGAUCCUUCUGGGAUUGCCUUUUCGGUUCCAUAUAACUUAAGAACGAUUUUGUCAUUAGGUCAUUCAUCUUUGCAAGAAUUUUGCAAAAACACCAGCAAAACAAAUUCAGCAGACAUAAAAAACAGAAGAACCCAGAAUUGCUUAGACAUAAAGUCAGAGAAACAGAGAGCUACAUUGCCUUAACGGUAAGACAAGGAGAUUUUGGAUGGAAGAUGGCUUUGUAGAAUGAAAAGG